Long non-coding RNA from Schistocerca nitens (vagrant locust), 435 nucleotides. RefSeq lists it as uncharacterized. The record is from RefSeq and is a predicted model, not a curated record. Lineage: Eukaryota; Metazoa; Arthropoda; Insecta; Orthoptera; Acrididae. The transcript has 3 exons.
AGUGCUGGAUAUCGUGCAUAGUCUAUGUUUAAUUUCUCUAAAGUACGAUGUACAUUUUGGUAUAAGUGACACUGUUACUUGUCCUUCCUCAUGUUGGUUUCUCGAUGAUUGAUGUAUACUACUUGUUCGCACCUUACAUUUGCACGGCGUUUUAAUUUAAUUAUUAAGUAACGGCAGUUUCGUAAUAGGGCGUGUCAAGCCCCGUCACACCGAGGUCUGCUGAACAAGUGCAGGUAAACAGCGACCUCAGUCUAUGUGAUCGCCGUAAUGCAUAGUGUCAACAGUGCAUCCCAAUUUAAGUUAUACAAUAUAGCACUGAAGAUGGUCACUCAGUGACAGAAAAUCGAUUCUGCAAUAGUAAAAAUAUACGACCAAUGCUGUCUCUUUUUUCAAGUAUACCUGUUAUCUGGUCGUUGUGCACAAGACAACAUGGAG